CGACUUAGCUCAAUAGGUAGAGCAACUGACUUGUAAUCAGUAGGUUGAGGGUUCAAUUCCUUUAGUCGGC
Molecule: transfer RNA, 70 nt
Filed under: human gut metagenome
Rfam family: tRNA
About the family: Transfer RNA (tRNA) molecules are approximately 80 nucleotides in length. Their secondary structure includes four short double-helical elements and three loops (D, anti-codon, and T loops). Further hydrogen bonds mediate the characteristic L-shaped molecular structure. tRNAs have two regions of fundamental functional importance: the anti-codon, which is responsible for specific mRNA codon recognition, and the 3' end, to which the tRNAs corresponding amino acid is attached (by aminoacyl-tRNA synthetases). tRNAs cope with the degeneracy of the genetic code in two manners: having more than one tRNA (with a specific anti-codon) for a particular amino acid; and 'wobble' base-pairing, i.e. permitting non-standard base-pairing at the 3rd anti-codon position.
Source: RNAcentral